Molecule: long non-coding RNA, 711 nt
Filed under: Rosa chinensis
Lineage: Eukaryota; Viridiplantae; Streptophyta; Magnoliopsida; Rosales; Rosaceae
Description: sRNA RchiOBHm_Chr2g0124421
Source: RNAcentral
UUGUGUACAGGGCGAUGUACCGAGCUAUUGCUCGACGAAGGAACUCGUAUGCAUGGUCGCCUAAAUAGUACUGUGAGUGGACAUUUGUUUUUAAAUUAAUUCCGCAUGCAGUAUUAUUAUUAUUUUCUUCCAAUGAGAUUUAAUUAUGUUUUGAAUAUUUGAGAUUUAGUUUAUCGAGAUUUAUUUAUGGAUUACGAGAUUAGUAUUGAAAUUCCUUCCCGAGGGCUUUUAGUAGAUUUUUGAGAUAGUCAUUCAUGAGUUAUUGAGUUGGGAAAUGAUUUUCGGGAAGUGACUGAUUCGGAAAAAUAUUAUGAGAAUUAUUGUUUUCGAAUAUCAGUUUUUAUGAAGAUAUACGAGUGCGAGGGAUUUAGCAAAUAUUUGAGCAUGAUUGAUUUAUCGAGAUUUAUUGGGUUUUGAAUUCCGCACUUAUCAGACUUGGGUUAGAUGGAACUUUCUUUCCGAAAGCAAUUAUUGAAUUAUAGAGUAUGUGAUUAUGCUUUCGAGGAUUUAUUGAGAUAUCGAGGAUUGAGUUAUGAUUGAAAGAGGUUAUGUUCAGUUCUUGAGGAGGCUAUUCAGUUUAUUAAGGAGGCCAGUUUUGGCGCAUGCGUAUCUUACCUAGUUGGCAGUCCCUUCUAGGUAAUAGUCUGGUUGGCAGUCCCUUCCAGACUACAGCUCGGUUGGCAGUCCCAUCCGAUGCGUCACCUGGUUGGC